Molecule: ribosomal RNA, 1362 nt
Filed under: Rothia amarae
Lineage: Bacteria; Bacillati; Actinomycetota; Actinomycetes; Micrococcales; Micrococcaceae
Description: bacterial SSU rRNA
Rfam family: Bacterial small subunit ribosomal RNA
Source: RNAcentral
UUACACAUGCAAGUCGAACGAUGAAGACUGGUGCUUGCACUGGUUGGAUUAGUGGCGAACGGGUGAGUAAUACGUGAGUAACCUGCCUUUGACUCUGGGAUAAGCCUGGGAAACUGGGUCUAAUACCGGAUAUGACAAGGAACCGCAUGGUUUUUUGUGGAAAGGGUUUGUACUGGUUUUAGAUGGGCUCACGGCCUAUCAGCUUGUUGGUGGGGUAAUGGCUCACCAAGGCGACGACGGGUAGCCGGCCUGAGAGGGUGACCGGCCACACUGGGACUGAGACACGGCCCAGACUCCUACGGGAGGCAGCAGUGGGGAAUAUUGCACAAUGGGCGCAAGCCUGAUGCAGCGACGCCGCGUGAGGGAUGACGGCCUUCGGGUUGUAAACCUCUUUCAGCAGGGAAGAAGCGAAAGUGACGGUACCUGCAGAAGAAGCGCCGGCUAACUACGUGCCAGCAGCCGCGGUAAUACGUAGGGCGCGAGCGUUGUCCGGAAUUAUUGGGCGUAAAGAGCUUGUAGGCGGUUUGUUGCGUCUGCUGUGAAAGACCGGGGCUUAACCCCGGUAUUGCAGUGGGUACGGGCAGACUAGAGUGCAGUAGGGGAGACUGGAAUUCCUGGUGUAGCGGUGAAAUGCGCAGAUAUCAGGAGGAACACCGAUGGCGAAGGCAGGUCUCUGGGCUGUAACUGACGCUGAGAAGCGAAAGCAUGGGGAGCGAACAGGAUUAGAUACCCUGGUAGUCAUGCCGUAAACGUUGGGCACUAGGUGUGGGGGACAUUCCACGUUUUCCGCGCCGUAGCUAACGCAUUAAGUGCCCCGCCUGGGGAGUACGGCCGCAAGGCUAAAACUCAAAGGAAUUGACGGGGGCCCGCACAAGCGGCGGAGCAUGCGGAUUAAUUCGAUGCAACGCGAAGAACCUUACCAAGGCUUGACAUAUACUGGACCGCCUCAGAGAUGGGGUUUCCCUUCGGGGCUGGUAUACAGGUGGUGCAUGGUUGUCGUCAGCUCGUGUCGUGAGAUGUUGGGUUAAGUCCCGCAACGAGCGCAACCCUCGUUCUAUGUUGCCAGCACGUUAUGGUGGGGACUCAUAGGAGACUGCCGGGGUCAACUCGGAGGAAGGUGGGGAUGACGUCAAAUCAUCAUGCCCCUUAUGUCUUGGGCUUCACGCAUGCUACAAUGGCCGGUACAAAGGGUUGCGAUACUGUGAGGUUGAGCUAAUCCCAAAAAGCCGGUCUCAGUUCGGAUUGGGGUCUGCAACUCGACCCCAUGAAGUCGGAGUCGCUAGUAAUCGCAGAUCAGCAACGCUGCGGUGAAUACGUUCCCGGCCCUUGUACACACCGCCCGUCAAGUCACGAAAGUUGGUA